CUAAUAUAUUCGACAAUUUUCCACCAGAUAACGCCUUAUCACACACACACAACUAUCUGAUGUCGUUUUUUCGGGGGUACGGAUCUCCAUCCUUAGAAUUGUCAGCGAGUGGCUUUCUUUACAUUUUCAAAACUUUGCUCAACACUUUCCGGUUCUCGAAACCGCUUUUUCCCAUAAGAAGAUGCCAUGCUCUUUUGCCAACAAAAUUCA
Paramuricea clavata is the source of this 210-nucleotide non-coding RNA. NCBI's taxonomy places the organism in Eukaryota, Metazoa, Cnidaria, Anthozoa, Malacalcyonacea, Plexauridae. The record is from the annotation of a GenBank genome assembly.